CCACCUUGCCAAGGUGGGGGUCGCGGGUUCGAGUCCCGUCU
This 41-nucleotide transfer RNA is filed under the name Pseudobutyrivibrio sp. C4. RNAcentral's name for it is "tRNA_Gly_GCC". Lineage: Bacteria; Bacillati; Bacillota; Clostridia; Lachnospirales; Lachnospiraceae. The record is from RNAcentral.